This 2539-nucleotide ribosomal RNA is filed under the name Escherichia coli. RNAcentral's name for it is "partial 23S ribosomal RNA". It matches the Rfam family "Bacterial large subunit ribosomal RNA", at positions 117 to 2682 of the family's 2925-position model. The record is from RNAcentral. Lineage: Bacteria; Pseudomonadati; Pseudomonadota; Gammaproteobacteria; Enterobacterales; Enterobacteriaceae.
AAUGGGGAAACCCAGUGUGUUUCGACACACUAUCAUUAACUGAAUCCAUAGGUUAAUGAGGCGAACCGGGGGAACUGAAACAUCUAAGUACCCCGAGGAAAAGAAAUCAACCGAGAUUCCCCCAGUAGCGGCGAGCGAACGGGGAGGAGCCCAGAGCCUGAAUCAGUGUGUGUGUUAGUGGAAGCGUCUGGAAAGGCGCGCGAUACAGGGUGACAGCCCCGUACACAAAAAUGCACAUGCUGUGAGCUCGAUGAGUAGGGCGGGACACGUGGUAUCCUGUCUGAAUAUGGGGGGACCAUCCUCCAAGGCUAAAUACUCCUGACUGACCGAUAGUGAACCAGUACCGUGAGGGAAAGGCGAAAAGAACCCCGGCGAGGGGAGUGAAAAAGAACCUGAAACCGUGUACGUACAAGCAGUGGGAGCCUCUUAAUGGGGUGACUGCGUACCUUUUGUAUAAUGGGUCAGCGACUUAUAUUCUGUAGCAAGGUUAACCGAAUAGGGGAGCCGAAGGGAAACCGAGUCUUAACUGGGCGUUAAGUUGCAGGGUAUAGACCCGAAACCCGGUGAUCUAGCCAUGGGCAGGUUGAAGGUUGGGUAACACUAACUGGAGGACCGAACCGACUAAUGUUGAAAAAUUAGCGGAUGACUUGUGGCUGGGGGUGAAAGGCCAAUCAAACCGGGAGAUAGCUGGUUCUCCCCGAAAGCUAUUUAGGUAGCGCCUCGUGAAUUCAUCUCCGGGGGUAGAGCACUGUUUCGGCAAGGGGGUCAUCCCGACUUACCAACCCGAUGCAAACUGCGAAUACCGGAGAAUGUUAUCACGGGAGACACACGGCGGGUGCUAACGUCCGUCGUGAAGAGGGAAACAACCCAGACCGCCAGCUAAGGUCCCAAAGUCAUGGUUAAGUGGGAAACGAUGUGGGAAGGCCCAGACAGCCAGGAUGUUGGCUUAGAAGCAGCCAUCAUUUAAAGAAAGCGUAAUAGCUCACUGGUCGAGUCGGCCUGCGCGGAAGAUGUAACGGGGCUAAACCAUGCACCGAAGCUGCGGCAGCGACACUAUGUGUUGUUGGGUAGGGGAGCGUUCUGUAAGCCUGUGAAGGUGGCCUGUGAGGGUUGCUGGAGGUAUCAGAAGUGCGAAUGCUGACAUAAGUAACGAUAAAGCGGGUGAAAAGCCCGCUCGCCGGAAGACCAAGGGUUCCUGUCCAACGUUAAUCGGGGCAGGGUGAGUCGACCCCUAAGGCGAGGCCGAAAGGCGUAGUCGAUGGGAAACAGGUUAAUAUUCCUGUACUUGGUGUUACUGCGAAGGGGGGACGGAGAAGGCUAUGUUGGCCGGGCGACGGUUGUCCCGGUUUAAGCGUGUAGGCUGGUUUUCCAGGCAAAUCCGGAAAACCAAGGCUGAGGCGUGAUGACGAGGCACUACGGUGCUGAAGUGACAAAUGCCCUGCUUCCAGGAAAAGCCUCUAAGCAUCAGGUAACAUCAAAUCGUACCCCAAACCGACACAGGUGGUCAGGUAGAGAAUACCAAGGCGCUUGAGAGAACUCGGGUGAAGGAACUAGGCAAAAUGGUGCCGUAACUUCGGGAGAAGGCACGCUGAUAUGUAGGUGAAGCGACUUGCUCGUGGAGCUGAAAUCAGUCGAAGAUACCAGCUGGCUGCAACUGUUUAUUAAAAACACAGCACUGUGCAAACACGAAAGUGGACGUAUACGGUGUGACGCCUGCCCGGUGCCGGAAGGUUAAUUGAUGGGGUUAGCGGUAACGCGAAGCUCUUGAUCGAAGCCCCGGUAAACGGCGGCCGUAACUAUAACGGUCCUAAGGUAGCGAAAUUCCUUGUCGGGUAAGUUCCGACCUGCACGAAUGGCGUAAUGAUGGCCAGGCUGUCUCCACCCGAGACUCAGUGAAAUUGAACUCGCUGUGAAGAUGCAGUGUACCCGCGGCAAGACGGAAAGACCCCGUGAACCUUUACUAUAGCUUGACACUGAACAUUGAGCCUUGAUGUGUAGGAUAGGUGGGAGGCUUUGAAGUGUGGACGCCAGUCUGCAUGGAGCCGACCUUGAAAUACCACCCUUUAAUGUUUGAUGUUCUAACGUUGGCCCCUAAUCGGGGUUGCGGACAGUGUCUGGUGGGUAGUUUGACUGGGGCGGUCUCCUCCUAAAGAGUAACGGAGGAGCACGAAGGUUGGCUAAUCCUGGUCGGACAUCAGGAGGUUAGUGCAAUGGCAUAAGCCAGCUUGACUGCGAGCGUGACGGCGCGAGCAGGUGCGAAAGCAGGUCAUAGUGAUCCGGUGGUUCUGAAUGGAAGGGCCAUCGCUCAACGGAUAAAAGGUACUCCGGGGAUAACAGGCUGAUACCGCCCAAGAGUUCAUAUCGACGGCGGUGUUUGGCACCUCGAUGUCGGCUCAUCACAUCCUGGGGCUGAAGUAGGUCCCAAGGGUAUGGCUGUUCGCCAUUUAAAGUGGUACGCGAGCUGGGUUUAGAACGUCGUGAGACAGUUCGGUCCCUAUCUGCCGUGGGCGCUGGAGAACUGAGGGGGGCUGCUCCUAGU